Molecule: ribosomal RNA, 796 nt
Filed under: Bryobacterales bacterium
Lineage: Bacteria; Pseudomonadati; Acidobacteriota; Terriglobia; Bryobacterales
Description: bacterial SSU rRNA
Rfam family: Bacterial small subunit ribosomal RNA
Source: RNAcentral
UUACUCGAGAGUUUGAUCCCGGCUCAGAAUCAACGCUGGCGGCGCGCUUAACACAUGCAAGUCGAACGAGAAAAUUCCCUUCGGGGAGUGAGUAAAGUGGCGAACGGGUGAGUAACACGUGGGUUACCUGCCCUCGAGUGGGGAAUAACUCUGGGAAACCGGGGCUAACACCGCAUACGAUCCUUCGGGAUGAAAGUCUUCGGACGCUCGAGGAGGGGCCCGCGGCCGAUUAGCUUGUUGGCGGGGUAAUGGCCCACCAAGGCAAAGAUCGGUAGCCGGCCUGAGAGGGCGCACGGUCACACUGGCACUGAGACACGGGCCAGACUCCUACGGGAGGCAGCAGUGAGGAAUCUUGGACAAUGGGGGAAACCCUGAUCCAGCGACGCCGCGUGAGUGAUGAAGCCUUUCGGGGUGUAAAGCUCUUUCAGCGGGGACAAUCAUGAUGGUACCCGCACAAGCAGCUGCGGCUAACUACGUGCCAGCAGCCGCGGUAAUACGUAGGCAGCAAGCGUUGUUCGGAAUUACUGGGCGUAAAGCGAGUGUAGGCGGUCUGCCAAGUCUGUUGUGAAAUCUCCCGGCUCAACUGGGAGGGUGCGUCGGAAACUGGCAGGCUCGAGUGCGAGAGGGGAGAGUGGAAUUCCUGGUGUAGCGGUGGAAUGCGUAGAUAUCAGGAGGAACACCGGUGGUGAAGACGGCUCUCUGGAUCGCCACUGACGCUGAGACUCGAAAGCGUGGGGAGCAAACAGGAUUAGAUACCCUGGUAGUCCACGCCCUAAACGAUGCAUACUUGGUGUGG